RNAcentral lists this long non-coding RNA (803 nucleotides) under Cyanistes caeruleus (blue tit). Its description in RNAcentral is "lncRNA (ENSCCEG00000012661.1)". Lineage: Eukaryota; Metazoa; Chordata; Aves; Passeriformes; Paridae. The record is from RNAcentral.
AUGUCAACUCCUGCGUAUUUGAAUUUUUCAAACAGACUGCCCAGCACACGUAACAAAGUCAGCUUUGUGAAAGGAGCAGCUAUUACUCUUCACCCAAACGCGGAAAUUUAUGACUCCCUGGGCUACACGGCCGGCCGGGUCCGACAGGGUCGACCGGCCAGGAGUGAGCUCGAGGAAGUGCCCUCCUCGCCGCUUCUCCCGCUGCUCCAGCGUGCGCAAUCCACCUGUUGCUUUCCGCCCCGGAUUCUCAUUUCACCCCCGGACUCCCAGCUCCCCAGGCAAAGCCGCGGCCAGCGGAAAGUUCCGGCGGGCCCCAGUGCUCAGGCUGCACCUUACAAUAACAGAAGAAAGUCCUGGAGGCCAAGAGAGGUGACCCAGAACUCCCCAAUUCAUCUGAGCUACAAGGAUCUGUGAAUGUAGGUGAGUUGGAAAUCUGUAUAUCAAGAAGUGCUUGUGCUUGAUUUUCUAUGACAGAUUUUCUCACUGCAGUCCAAAACUUGGGGUUGAAAGUGUGUACUUAUGUUAAAUACUCUGAUUUAGCAUAUUUAACAUAGCUAUGUUAACAUAACUUUAAUGAUUAUAUCUGAAAUAUUCUUAAACCUGCUGCAUGCUUCAUAUUGGCAUGUAGAUUUUGUAUGUGGAAUUAAUUCCAGAGCAGCUAUUGCAACCAAGAAAAGGUGUGUGUCUUGAAGACCCAUGAGAAGGAAGACAUUAAAGAUCUCUUUUUGUUUUUGAAAACCCAUAUUUAUAACAUGCAGAUCAGUAAUGUCCUAUGGUUUAGUACCAUAUGUAAUCACAGAUAU